This 208-nucleotide ribosomal RNA is filed under the name uncultured bacterium. RNAcentral's name for it is "partial 16S ribosomal RNA". It matches the Rfam family "Bacterial small subunit ribosomal RNA", at positions 568 to 774 of the family's 1533-position model. The record is from RNAcentral.
CUCGUAGGCGGUUCAGUCAGUCGGGUGUGAAAACUUGAGGCUUAACCUCAAGAGGUCACUCGAUACUACUGUGACUAGAGUGCGGUAGGGGAGCGGGGAAUUCCUGGUGUAGCGGUGAAAUGCGCAGAUAUCAGGAGGAACACCAGUGGCGAAGGCGCCGCUCUGGGCCGUAACUGACGCUGAGGAGCGAAAGCAUGGGUAGCAAACA